GUAAUGCAUGAAGCUUACCGUUACUAAUAGCUCGAGCGACUUCUUCGUUCCCAUU
RNAcentral lists this ribosomal RNA (55 nucleotides) under Rhizobium sp. Leaf68. Its description in RNAcentral is "partial 23S ribosomal RNA". Lineage: Bacteria; Pseudomonadati; Pseudomonadota; Alphaproteobacteria; Hyphomicrobiales; Rhizobiaceae. The record is from RNAcentral.